CAAGCACCCAGCUACAUUGAAAAGCUGGGCAGAGCCAGACAUGGGGAUGCAUACUUAUAAUCCCAGCUACUGGAAAGGCAGAAGCAGGUGGAUCUCGAGUCCAAACCCAGCCUUGCCAACUUAGGGAGAAUGUCUCAAUAAAAAAUAACAACGGCUGAGGAUGUAGCUUAGUGGUAGUGGUAAGUGACCCUGGAUUCAAUCCCCAGUACCACACACACACACGUGCAGUUAGAUGAACCAUCCUGGGAGGCCACAGGCUUCCCCAGGGCAUUGGCAGUGGACUCCCAUUGCACCCAACCUUUCAGGACCACCUCUGGCUCGAUUCAGUGAGAUGCACCUGCCCCCAGGUGACUCACGAGCACACCAGGCUCGCCACGAGAGGGGAAGCUGCCAUUCCCAAUGCAGCAGGUUGCCAGUACAUUUAUGACUUGGGAUCACGAAUCCUUAAAUCACCUGCAUGCCCUUGUAAGCAUGAUCAUAGAUCAGCUUGGAAGAGGCCUUGCUGCAGGUGUCUUGGCAAACCCUGGUCAAAGCUAGGAACCACGAGACCAAGGAACUCUAGCAGCUGCACUGGUCCCCAGGAAGCAACGAGAUGCUCUGGACAAGGAAGAUGGGCCGGGACAGCUGCCUGCGGAUGGAACUGAGCAUGCUCAGGAGGCCCAGGGUUCCCACCACCCUGUGGAGCGUCGCAGCCCUGGAGAGGUGGCCCCCAGUGCAUGAGGAAGGCUUCACACUGUUAUUUUUUGCCCCUUGUUGCUGUAGG
Molecule: long non-coding RNA, 763 nt
Filed under: Heterocephalus glaber (naked mole-rat)
Lineage: Eukaryota; Metazoa; Chordata; Mammalia; Rodentia; Bathyergidae
Description: lncRNA (ENSHGLG00000036064.1)
Source: RNAcentral